GACGAACGCUGGCGGCGUGCUUAACACAUGCAAGUCGAACGGAAAGGCCCUGCUUUUGUGGGGUGCUCGAGUGGCGAACGGGUGGGUAACACGUGAGUAACCUGCCCUUGACUUUGGGAUAACUUCAGGAAACUGGGGCUAAUACCGGAUAGGAGCUCCUGCUGCAUGGUGGGGGUUGGAAAGUUUCGGCGGUUGGGGAUGGACUCGCGGCUUAUCAGCUUGUUGGUGGGGUAGUGGCUUACCAAGGCUUUGACGGGUAGCCGGCCUGAGAGGGUGACCGGCCACAUUGGGACUGAGAUACGGCCCAGACUCCUACGGGAGGCAGCAGUGGGGAAUAUGGCACAAUGGGCGGAAGCCUGAUGCAGCAACGCCGCGUGCGGGAUGACGGCCUUCGGGUUGUAAACCGCUUUCGCCUGUGACGAAGCGUGAGUGACGGUAAUGGGUAAAGAAGCACCGGCUAACUACGU
This 467-nucleotide ribosomal RNA is filed under the name uncultured bacterium. Its description in RNAcentral is "partial 16S ribosomal RNA". It matches the Rfam family "Bacterial small subunit ribosomal RNA", at positions 28 to 506 of the family's 1533-position model. The record is from RNAcentral.